CCUACGGGCGGCAGCAGUGAGGAAUAUUGGUCAAUGGCCGCAGGGCUGAACCAGCCAAGCCGCGUGAGGGAUGACGGUCCUAUGGAUCGUAAACCUCUUUUGUCAGGGAGCAAAGGGCGCCACGUGUCCCCUUUUGCGAGUACCUGAAGAAAAAGCAUCGGCUAACUCCGUGCCAGCAGCCGCGGUAAUACGGAGGAUGCGAGCGUUAUCCGGAUUUAUUGGGUUUAAGGGGUGCGCAGGCGGUAUGUCAAGUCAGCGGUAAAAUCCCGGGGCUCAACCCCGCCGUGCCGUUGAAACUGGCGGUCUUGAGUGAGCGAGAAGUAUGCGGAAGGCGUGGUGGAGCGGGGAAAUGAAUAGAU
This 359-nucleotide ribosomal RNA is filed under the name uncultured bacterium. RNAcentral's name for it is "partial 16S ribosomal RNA". It matches the Rfam family "Bacterial small subunit ribosomal RNA", at positions 338 to 695 of the family's 1533-position model. The record is from RNAcentral.